This 413-nucleotide ribosomal RNA is filed under the name uncultured microorganism. RNAcentral's name for it is "bacterial SSU rRNA". It matches the Rfam family "Archaeal small subunit ribosomal RNA", at positions 459 to 871 of the family's 1478-position model. The record is from RNAcentral.
CAGCCGCCGCGGUAAUACCGGCGGCCCGAGUGGUGGCCGCUAUUAUUGGGCCUAAAGCGUCCGUAGCCGGGCCCGUAAGUCCCUGGCGAAAUCCCACGGCUCAACCGUGGGGCUUGCUGGGGAUACUGCGGGCCUUGGGACCGGGAGAGGCCGAGGGUAUUCCCGGGGUAGGGGUGAAAUCCUGUAAUCCCGGGAGGACCACCUGUGGCGAAGGCGCUCGGCUGGAACGGGUCCGACGGUGAGGGACGAAGGCCAGGGGAGCGAACCGGAUUAGAUACCCGGGUAGUCCUGGCUGUAAACGAUGCGGACUAGGUGUCGGGCAAGCUAAGGGCUUGUCCGGUGCCGCAGGGAAGCCGUUAAGUCCGCCGCCUGGGGAGUACGGCCGCAAGGCUGAAACUUAAAGGAAUUGGGGG